Molecule: long non-coding RNA, 1319 nt
Organism: Malaya genurostris
Lineage: Eukaryota; Metazoa; Arthropoda; Insecta; Diptera; Culicidae
Exons: 3
Source: RefSeq, a predicted model, not a curated record
GUAAUUUUACUUGAUUAUUAGCAAAUAUACAUGAUUGAAAAUUCAGUUUCGUUUUGUGUUGCAACAGAUUUGGAAAUACAUGACUGCAUUUUCGUGGAUACUGACAAUGGAUCGGGAUACUUUUCCUAUUUGUUUGUUUAUUUCUAUAAUUGCGGUUUCUUGACAAAUAACGCAUAGCAACCAGAACAGUGUUGCCUAAAAAUAUUAAUUUUAUCAUUAUCAAGGGGUCGCUAUAUUUGUCGUAACUGACGGAAAAUCACUCACAGACACAUUUUAUUCCAAUUUUUCUUCGGAGUGCCUGGUCGUGUCGUCGCUUGAACUAUGUUGUUGUGUAUGAGAUAUGGGUUUAACAGUUUAUUUACCUAUAGAUCAGUUUUGGAGAGCACUUUUGGAAACACACUGAAAUGUUACUUAAGAAAAACUAUCAUGGGAACCGACAAAUGCAAAACUGAUUUCCUAGCACAGAUUAAUCAGACGCUAGCAAUGUUCUUAAAACGGGCAGAAUGGUUAUGUAAUUCUCAAGCGAAUCAUUGUCUCCAAUAAUAUCCACAUCCGUUUUGAAACCAAUUUAUAAGAAUCAAAUGCCUAUUGAUUUUUCUGCAAUUAGCAGUUCAAUGGAAAUCGUUCAAAUGCUAGGCUGACUCACGGAUUCGUCAUUCCUCGCCGGCAGACCAACGGAAUCGGUCUCCAAAGUGAUAUGGAAUGUUCUCAAUCCAACUGCAUGUUCCACUGUCUAGUCUGUUUUGGUUGCCGCUAGCUCAACAUUUGGUUGCGAUCGCCAUAUUUAAGGCUAUUCAUGAAAGUGUACCGGGAUAUGAUCGGUUGGAAAUGACCGAUUGAUAUAUAUGCGAAUGAGGUAACGAAAAUUGGUGGCUGUAUUAUUAAGUCACAGUCAUCUUAGCAAUUCGACUCCGACAGUUUACUUGGAUGAUCUGAUUCGUGAUUUCAAUUCGAGAAUGGGUACAAAUCUUCCACAUUUGAGAUAUGAACAAAUUCUGACGCAAAUUCUGAAGUUGAAGGACUUUUUAAUUAAGUUCGAUGCGAGGAUUUGCAUUGUUUGUAUGUACUCUACUUUAGAUACUGGCUUCAUCAAGAUAAACUAGUCACGGUCAAGAAUGAGGAAGGAUUUGAAAUCACCGGUUUAAUCAAGAGCAUUAAUGAGUACUGAUAUUUGCUUGUGGAAGUGGACAAACACGUGAAGCCGAUUUGAAUUCAUCCUGAUGGAAACAGUUUCGAUAUGAUGAAAAAAGGUUGAUAAUUCCAAAAAACUGAUCAAGUUUAGAUUUGAUACUGUAAUCUAAUAUUGUAAAUCAUUUGUU